GAUGAACGCUGGCGGCGUGCCUAAUACAUGCAAGUCGAGCGAACAGAUGAGGAGCUUGCUCCUCUGACGUUAGCGGCGGACGGGUGAGUAACACGUGGAUAACCUACCUAUAAGACUGGGAUAACUUCGGGAAACCGGAGCUAAUACCGGAUAAUAUAUUGAACCGCAUGGUUCAAUAGUGAAAGACGGUUUUGCUGUCACUUAUAGAUGGAUCCGCGCCGCAUUAGCUAGUUGGUAAGGUAACGGCUUACCAAGGCAACGAUGCGUAGCCGACCUGAGAGGGUGAUCGGCCACACUGGAACUGAGACGCGGUCCAGACUCCGACGGGAGGCAGCAGUAGGGACUCUUCCGCAAUGGGCGAAAGCCUGACGGAGCAACGCCGCGUGAGUGAUGAAGGUCUUCGGAUCGUAAAACGCUGUUAUUAGGGAAGAACAAAUGUGUAAGUAACUAUGCACGUCUGGACGGUACCUAAUCAGAAAGCCACGGCUAACUACGU
Molecule: ribosomal RNA, 496 nt
Filed under: uncultured bacterium
Lineage: Bacteria
Description: partial 16S ribosomal RNA
Rfam family: Bacterial small subunit ribosomal RNA
Source: RNAcentral